This 78-nucleotide small nucleolar RNA is filed under the name Echeneis naucrates (live sharksucker). RNAcentral's name for it is "Small nucleolar RNA SNORD49 (ENSENLG00000019163.1)". It matches the Rfam family "Small nucleolar RNA SNORD49". From Rfam's summary of the family: U49 belongs to the C/D class of snoRNA which contain the C (UGAUGA) and D (CUGA) box motifs. Most of the members of the box C/D family function in directing site-specific 2'-O-methylation of substrate RNAs. The record is from Rfam by way of RNAcentral. Lineage: Eukaryota; Metazoa; Chordata; Actinopteri; Carangiformes; Echeneidae.
AUCAAUGAUGAAAAUCUGGAAUAGGAAGUGCCGUCAGAUGCGAUAACUGACGAUUGUUAACGAUCCAGUUUUCUGAGA